Molecule: non-coding RNA, 497 nt
Organism: Schizosaccharomyces pombe (fission yeast)
Lineage: Eukaryota; Fungi; Ascomycota; Schizosaccharomycetes; Schizosaccharomycetales; Schizosaccharomycetaceae
Source: the annotation of a GenBank genome assembly
GAUAUUAUUAAAAUUCUCAUAACAAUGAUUAAUAUCGUUGUUCGUUACUAUCGCAUACACACUCUUUACUAAAUCGCAAAUAAAACUCACUGUAGUUCUAAGCCUGGUUAAAUAAAUAGUUAAUCGCGUGUCUGGCAACUGCAAACCAUAAUUGACUGUGUAGCGGGUUUCGUGAUUUAAAAUCUCACUCAAGCAUUUGGUCGUUCAUAGCCAUGCUAAAGUUUUUUUAAAAAAUUUUUUAAUUUGUUUCGUUUGAAAAGACAAAAACUGAUUCAACUUAAUUUUGGUAUUCAUUACUAUAUUAAAUUUUCAACAUUUUCAACAUUUUCUUAUAUCAAAUACUCCUGCACCCAUUUAUUGCUGUUCGGUUUUAUAUUUACCUUUUGUUUACAUACUAAUUAUUAUAUAUUAACUAUGGGCAAGUAAUUUUCAAUCGUUUGGCAUAUCGUAGAACAAAGUCGAAAAGAUAUAUCUCCUUCACUGAUUUGAGUUGUUCA